CGUCAGACCAGGAAAUGAAAUCAAAACACAAAGUGUGGAUGGCCUUUCUGGCAAGGCCUUGCUGACUGAAGCCAGGCUGAUGUGUGAAGGCAGCUGCCAGUUCGUGCUGCACUUGCUGGGGGUGUGUUGGUCCCCCGGGCCCCCGGGCUGCAGGAGGCUAGGCCUCGUCAUGCAGUUCAUAGAGAAAGGGUCCCUGGAGGCUCUGCUGGAGCAGCUCAGCCAGCUGCCCUGGCCUCUUACUUUCAGACUCGCCCACCAGGUGGUGCUGGGGACGAACUUCCUGCAUGAGCACAAGCCUGCUGUCCUGCUCCUGGACCUGAAAUCCAGCAAUGUGCAGCUGGACAACAGCUUCAAUGCUUAGAUGCAGGCUCCAGUUUGAUCACGUUGCUGAUUCCUCAAGGGCAGAGGCCGGAUAUUUCGAGCAUCAAUUUGACUGAGCAGAGAAGCAGGGAGACAUCGUGGAGCUGAUGUAGAGGUGCUGGGAUAGAGACCAGAACUGCGGGCCCUUGUUGAGCAGUGAGCGCCUUUUCAAAGGUUAAAGGCACAGUAGCAUCUGCAAGACGGGCGGAUCAGGUUUUUUCAGCCAGGCUUAAAAGGCCUGGGGAGAACCCUGAUUUGGGAAGGGUAUAGUUAGCAUACUGUGGUCCAAUUCUACCGUUGUCAUUGAAGAUCAGUUUAUAUUUCUGAAACUUUUCUUUGUACUUCAGAGCAAAAUGGCCAAAAGUGAAAGCAUGGAGAGUUUGAACAAGGAGAUUGUUGCUUAAGGAUCAGUUCUUACCAGCAGUCACCAGCACGUAAAAGCCAUUGGAUUUUCAGUUUUUGGGGUACUCCGUUAGUGUUGUGUACAUAUUACUGCUUUGGUAUCUACUGAUAAAAACACAGCACAGUGUAGUAAAGGACAGAGAAUAUAAAUAUAUAAAUUUCUUCUUUCUUAUUCAGUCUUCCUGUCCUUUCUUGCAUGCUUUUGUUUUUUAUUCUGUCCCUCCCUUUUCAUUUCUUUAAUAUAUUUUCAUUCUUUCUCCUCCCUUUUUCGUAACUUUCUUUUCUUACUCUUUCUUUUGUCUUUUUUCCUCCUUUUAUUUUCAUGUGUUUGCUUAUUCUUUUUGUGUUUCCUUCUUGUAUUGAUUCUGAAAUAAAGAGAGAAAAAAUACUUGCCAGUUUUUAACCCAUUGUACAGUCCAGAUUCUUCCUCCAGUUACUAACAGACUCCUUUGAAAUGUGCUUUGAAGAUGUGCCUUUGGAUCAACCCCUCCCAGUGCAACAGGUCCACAGCAGGCAAGAAAACACAUUAUCACUGGAGAAGAUUUGCACAGUAGAGCCUUAGUCAUUUGAAUGACUAUUUUACAUUUCUCUCAUUUGGAGUGGUUCUCUCAUUCGGAGUGGUUCUGGGUCCUGUUGCUCCAAUACUGAGUUUCUCUAAAUCUACCUUUACCUGGCUUGGAGCUGCUUUCAGCUUGCUUUGAGAAUCUUAAGUGCCAGGCACUGAACAGCCUUCCUCAUUCCAUUCAGAUCAUGUAUCAACUCAAUCAUGUGUCAACUACUGUCUCUCUGUCUCUCUCAUAGCAUUCUCCAGACAAGCUCCAAACCAGGUAAAGGCAGAUUUAAAGAACCUCAAUAUUGGAGUAACUGACUCCAGAAUUGCUACUUAGAUAGUCAGCUAGAUCAACCAGCUAGAUCUUUAUAGAAGCAGGAGCCAGCCCCAUGAAGUGAUCCGCCACUGUGGAUCAAGUUUUGUUCUGCUGGCAGUACACUAACUGUGCACUAGAAGGCAGUGGCAAUGGCACUUGCUAAUAUAAAGACACUGUAUCAGAAGCACUCAGAAUGGUUGCAGACAUCAUAAAAAUGUAAGGGGGCAGUAAAAAAGAAAAAGAAAUCUCACUACUUUUGAAAAUGAGAAAGUCAUUAAUUUUACUGAAAAAGCAGACAGAAAAACAGAGAAUGUCCAUUACUUUCUAUGCAGUAGAUUCACUGAUGCAAAUGAGAAACUAGGUUCAAUUCAGCAGAAAGCUGUUUAAACUCUGAAACCACAUUUUAUCAAUACAGAAAUAAAUGUUUUAAAUCUUGUUUUUUUUCACCAGGAAAUGUCAGGGUCAGUACGAAGCAUAUGUAUAAAACCAGUUCAAUAAACAACUUUUAAUAUUUAUUGUAUAAGUGCAUAGAAAAGCACAGAUAAGAUAGUGAACCAGCCCCCUUCUCAAAGUUUACUGCUUUGGUAUCUCCCUGGUAAAAGCACAGCUCAGUGUAGUAAAGCACAGAUAAGAUAAUGAACCAGCCCCUUCUCAAAGUUUACUGCUUUAGUAUCUCCCUGGUAAAAGCACAGCACAGUGUAGUAAAGCACAGAUAAGAUAAUGAACCAGCCCCUUCUCAAAGUUUACUGCUUUAGUAUCUCCCUGGUAAAAGCACAGCACAUUGUAGUAAAGCACAGAUAAGAUAAUGAACCAGCCCCUUCUCAAAGUUUCCAGGUGACCACAGAAGUGCAACACUGUCUGAAAGCAUGGCUUGUGCUAAAAGAUUUAAUACCUAUGUAGCUAAUGUGUGUAUAAAAUCUAUCUAAACAUGUGUUUAAAAUGUAUAUUAUACAAAGUAAUUGAGAAUUCACACAACAUUGUCAGCGCAUCAUAACAACUAGAGGGUACGUGGAGGAUGACAUACAAAGGAAGACUGUCUGACAGACACUAUGAUGCACCACUUGGCCACCAGAGGGCCCUUCAAUAAAGUUGUGUAGAAUUGAAAACAAUGUUGCGUGAAUUCUGACAGUGGAAUGUAAGCCCGUUCUCUCUGUUGGUGUCUCUCUCAAUAUCGGUAUCCGCUUCACAGCCUCAAAUGUGUCCGGAGUUCAGAUUGGAGAAACCACAGACAAACAACACAAGACAAAUAAAGCAAAGGAACCAGAAUAGAAACAAACCAUUUUACUUCUUCUUGGCCUCCUCUCGCUUGUGAACGUUCUUAUGUUCUUAAAAGGGGUUGUUGUAUCUGUUGCUCUUUUUUUACGCAUCUAAAGGUGGGGGAGCCAUCUUGAGGUUAGGCUGACCUGUGUUUGUGAGGUCUGUUUGUAUAGCUAUCUCUUUAUAUUUGUGUUCUUUUCUAUUAUUAUGAUAAGUCUCGUGGGUCACAAUCCCGCGUCGUGUGAAGCCACGUACCCCGGUCAUACCCGGGUUGGCCUGGUCAGCAGUGACCCACCUCAGAAUGUGGGCUAACACGCUUUGACCUGGGUCAAGCGAGACAAAAUGCAUGAUGGGCGUUCGUAAGCAGACGAAGUAACAAACAGCCAUGUCUGCGUGAAGGUUUCACUUCCUCAAGGAAAAUUUCUGUUUAUUUUGUUUAGCCAUAUUUUUGUGAUUGAGACACACCAGAGCCAGAUUGCAGCAGGGAUGAAGAAACAUUUACUCUAAUCAACAUUUGGGCCGACGAUUCAAUCCAGAGGAGCCUGGAUGGAAGAGUUUGUAACAAGCUGCUUCCGGGGCUUCACGUACGUGUAUUUACUUGCUUCUGUUAACCAGGUAGUCGCUGCUUUAUAAAAAGGCAGUGUGAAAUGGCAUGACACCAGGUUUCCACCUCGGUGUGAAAAUGGCUUCAAUUUUCUUUGCUAACUGGGAUUGCAGUUUUUUUAAUGCCCAUUCUUGUUUUUGGAGGUCAUUUUUGCGUUUGGGGAUUUCUUUUUUGAGAACUCUUGAUUGUUAAAUGCAAGAGACUUUUUCAACAAGUAUGGUGUAGAUAUGGGCUGCAAACAAUGGGGUUUCUAGAGACUAGGCCUGUCUUAUUUUUUUUUUGUUAAAUUGCCAACUUUAUGUUUUUAAUUCUAUUGCGUAAUCUUGCAAUUAUGUUUGAUUUUGUUUGUACAAGACUUAUUUCCUUAUUUUUGCCAUCCAUUUAACUUUUCAUGUGUUUCCCCAGCAUUUUAUUUUACAGCGCGUUUACCUCAUAUUAUGCUUCCAUGCCUUGUUUCUUGUCUGCUUUCCCUUUAAGUUUUUUUUUAUAUAUAUGUUUUCCAUUGUCAUACAUUUACUGACUUAAUUGUGCUUUUCUUGUUUAAAAAAAUGUUUUGGUGCAUGGCAAUAAACUCACUUUACAUGGUUGUCUCUA
Molecule: long non-coding RNA, 4083 nt
Organism: Acipenser ruthenus (sterlet)
Lineage: Eukaryota; Metazoa; Chordata; Actinopteri; Acipenseriformes; Acipenseridae
Exons: 3
Source: RefSeq, a predicted model, not a curated record